CGGACGGGUGAGUAAUGUCUGGGAAACUGCCUGAUGGAGGGGGAUAACUACUGGAAACGGUAGCUAAUACCGCAUAACGUCGCAAGACCAAAGAGGGGGACCUUCGGGCCUCUUGCCAUCAGAUGUGCCCAGAUGGGAUUAGCUAGUAGGUGGGGUAACGGCUCACCUAGGCGACGAUCCCUAGCUGGUAUGAGAGGAUGACCAGCCACACUGGAACUGAGACACGGUCCAG
Molecule: ribosomal RNA, 232 nt
Filed under: uncultured Enterobacterales bacterium
Lineage: Bacteria; Pseudomonadati; Pseudomonadota; Gammaproteobacteria; Enterobacterales
Description: partial 16S ribosomal RNA
Rfam family: Bacterial small subunit ribosomal RNA
Source: RNAcentral